Molecule: long non-coding RNA, 455 nt
Organism: Solanum dulcamara
Lineage: Eukaryota; Viridiplantae; Streptophyta; Magnoliopsida; Solanales; Solanaceae
Exons: 2
Source: RefSeq, a predicted model, not a curated record
GAAAACAACCACCCUCAUAUAGGGUUUCCUAAUUGUUGCUCUCAUGUUCUCCAUCUUGUAAUGUAUACUCUGAGAGACCAUGUCAAUCGGCACUUCUGAGUGCUUCUGCAUCUUGAAAUUGCCCGUAAAGGUGACCAUUGUUUUUAUUGUUGUCCUCCAGUGGGAGCUUUGGAUCCUAAGGGUCUCAUAUGGGAGCUGAGUUGAACAUUUGCGUGCAACAUCAUAUGUAGGUCCUUCUGAGGGGUUGUUAAUGUCCCUGCUAUUCUUCCGGUGAGUUCCAGUCUCAAAUGUCUUGCCAUAUUUCUUGAUCUGGCUCCCACGGCCCCUACUUUUGAUAAAGACUCCCUUUUUAAGCUACCAUAGUUAAAGCUCAGUAGCUUAUUUUGUCUCCUUGCAGUGUAAAAACCUUUGUUAUUAGACCCAUGUUUAUGAUUUGAAUAUCUAAGCAUCCCUUU